AAGAAAGUGGCAGAGUGGUGAUGCGGCUGGCUUGAAACCGGUAAAUGGGGGUUCAAUUCCUUCCUUUCUUG
Molecule: transfer RNA, 71 nt
Filed under: Avocettina infans (avocet snipe-eel)
Lineage: Eukaryota; Metazoa; Chordata; Actinopteri; Anguilliformes; Nemichthyidae
Also listed under: 1 other name
Description: tRNA-Ser (UCN)
Rfam family: tRNA
About the family: Transfer RNA (tRNA) molecules are approximately 80 nucleotides in length. Their secondary structure includes four short double-helical elements and three loops (D, anti-codon, and T loops). Further hydrogen bonds mediate the characteristic L-shaped molecular structure. tRNAs have two regions of fundamental functional importance: the anti-codon, which is responsible for specific mRNA codon recognition, and the 3' end, to which the tRNAs corresponding amino acid is attached (by aminoacyl-tRNA synthetases). tRNAs cope with the degeneracy of the genetic code in two manners: having more than one tRNA (with a specific anti-codon) for a particular amino acid; and 'wobble' base-pairing, i.e. permitting non-standard base-pairing at the 3rd anti-codon position.
Source: RNAcentral